GUGUGUGUGUGUGUGUGUGUCAGAGGGGUGUUUACAUCCUGCCACCAAUCAAAAACUGUCUGAUUAGAAUUUGUGGACUCAUGCUGAGCUUGCUUGAGGUCAUUUUUUGUUGUACUGCAUUACUUUCAGUACUUCUUCAUUUUGAUGAUCUUCAGUACCAACUUUUGCUUUUUUAGCAAAUGAAGCUCAGUCUAAGUAAUUUUUUGGCUUUAUUUAUCACAUUUUUCAGUUUUUGGUACUCUAUAUUUUGGUAAUCUUAUGCGGUUAAGCCAUUCAGCAAAUUCAACUUUAAGUAUUUCUAAUAGUUUCAAGCAUUUCAGGUAAAAUUUCCAAAUUUUCAGCAUUCAUAUUAUAGAUUGCAGCUUGUCCAAAAUGCUCCGGCACGCCUUUUGACUGAAGCCAGAAGGUUUGCCUCUGUCACCCCUGUCCUUGCGGAUUUGCAAUCAAAUACUAUAUUGAAUUUUAAAUAUUGCUGCUUACCUUCAAAAUUAUAAACAAUACAGCGCCUAGCUAUCUCGACGAAACUCCUUAGACCAUAUACCCCUGGGACAGCCCUCAGGUCAUCAGCCCAAUGACCUUUGGUACAGUCUAGAUCUCAGCUUAAGACCAGAGGUGACCGUGCGUUUGCCCUGGUUGCGCCUCAGCUGUGGAACAACCUUCCCAUUGCUAUUCACGCGUCUGAAUCCAUCCAAUCAUUUAAAUCACGAUUAAAAACUCACUUAUUUAACCUUGCUUUUCUGGUUAGUUAAUGCCUGUAUUUUAUACUUAACUAACAAUUUAACUUUGUAUAUAUCUUCUACUUAAUACCCAUGUGUUUAUAGCAAGUUUGGUUUGAUAUUCACUUUUAUUCUUGCGUAAUUAGUGCCAUUGACCUGUUGGCAUAUUCAAUGCUUUGUUAAUGGUCUUAUAUUAUUCAUGUUUUAACCUGCUGUUUUAUUGUGAAGCACUUUGGUGUACCGUUGGUAUGGUAUUGUAUAUUGCAUAUUUGCUGUGAAAUGCUUUUUCUAGUUGUCUCUGUCUCUAUCUCUAAACUCUGUUACAUACUCAACAUGGAAUGAUCCCCUUUGUCAGGGCGUGUAGCUUCUUCUUUAAGAUACUCCAAUUUGCCUGGCCAUGCCCCUUAUCUAUAAAACAGCUGUUCAGACUUGAAAUCAUCGAUCAUUUGAGCUUCACUUUACAGUGAAGUGUGUGUACUGGAAGAGUGUGUGGUACAGUGUGUGUCUGUUACCUUUAUGGUGGGGAGCCUGUCUGUUGGCAGCCUCCCAGGAUUGCUGUCAUUUCCUCUGUAGCUCUAGUUGGCUGUGAUCACUUCUGGCAUAUUGCCUGUGGUUUCACUGGUUUACAUGUCCAUUGGGUCCUUGCUGUGGCUGAUGCUGUUAGCCCCGUGAGCGAGGGUUUCUCUGGUCUGCUAGGUGAGCCCAGUCUGUUUUUCACGAUCGUGAGUUUCACACCGAGUGGCUUAGCAUAACCCUUCUCACCAAGCAUCCUUCACAAUAUAAGCUAAAAGAAAAUUGUAUGAAAGACAGUCAGGGGAACAUGAAGAUCAGCAAAGAGAGAUGAGCUAUUUAGCUUAGCUUAGGAAAAAGCAGUAUUUAUCUCGCUGUUUCAUGGUUACGGCUGCCUCAUUCUCCCAGCAAGUAUGGCAAGCCCUGUGUGCCAUAACUGUGUGGGAUUUGACAUUUCUAUGCCUCUGGAUGAUGGCAUAACAGGUGCGAUGUGAUUGGGUACCAACAUGCCUUGCUGGUGAGGGAAAAACCCCUAGUCCUGUAUGGACUGACCUGUACUCACUUUUCUGACACAAAAUGUGCAGACUCACCCCUUUUCGAUAUGCCUAAAGUUGGAAAAGUGGAUGCCUCACAGACCAAGGGGGAGUGCCCAGACCCUUGGCAGGUGUCUUUCCCUUCCCCUGCUGCUAGGCUUGUCGAAGAGCCACCCUUUAGGAGCUCCUCACUGGCCCCAGCGAUUGAAUGUGAUUAGAAGGGCAUCCAGAGAUCUGCCCUUCCUGAGGACUCUGUGGCGCCUGCUCCCAGUUUUGAGGACACUGGACAUUUCCGGCCUUCCCAGAUGCAGGUGCCUGACAUUAAGGACCUGAUGAGCUAGUAGUUCGGCUCUUGGCUUUUGUAGACGUGGUGCGCACCCACAUGGAAAGAAGGAGGAUGAACAGCCAAGGCUCUGACAUCCUCCAGCGACCCCCCUCUCCCCUGACCUAUCCUGGAGCAAGGUCGGCUAGCCCCCUUCCAGCCUGUGCCUGGAGCGGUCUCACUAGGUAAAAGUUGUGGUCUCCACUGAGCUUUCCAUUGGUGGAGGGACUCAACCAACUUAGACCAGGGUCAUGCAGUAGGUCUGGUGACUCACCGUCAGCUGGUCUUCACGGACACUUUCCAAGUCAAUUUGGGUAGGGUCCACUAAGGCUGUGCGGUAAAUGGCUAUUGAACCAGCCACUAGGCAACUCAUCCUCACUAGAGCUGUACCAUGUUAUCAUCAGGACAGACACAAUGGUUGCAACAGCCUACAUCAACAGGCCUAGGUUCCCCCCCUCCUCUUCAGGAUGGCUAACAGGUUGUUGCAGUGUGCUCAUCCCCUGUUCCAUUGAGUUUGCUUGGGUACAUGCAGCAGGGCCAUUGAACGUGGACAUUAAGUUGAUGGGGGCCCGAGUCCAGGAGAGUGGAGACUCCAUCCACAGAUGGUUGACCAGGUCUGGCAUCACUUUGGAAGGGCAAACUUCUAUCUUUUCGUCCAGGGAGUUGACGCGAUGCCAUUGUUUCUUCUCCCUCCAGAAUGAUGACCUGCCUCUGGGGUGGGACACCCGUGCACACCCUUGCCCCCAGACUCUAUGCAUUCCUUUCCAUUCUCCCUCCUCCAGUUGGUCCUCCACUGAGUCCAGACCGAGGAGAUGUGGUUGAUCCUGGUGGCCCCUCUUGGUCCCACAUGCCUUGGUUUUCAGCAAUCCCUCUGCUACUGAAUGGGACCCAUGAGAGCUUCCCUUCCAAAGGGACCUCCUGUCUCAAAUAAGCGGUAUGCUUUUCCAGCCCUUCCUGGCAGGGCUCAGGGUGAUAACCUGGCCCCUGAAAGGCACCUUUCCUUAGGGUUGCCUGAACCUGUGAUAUGAAAUUUGCAGGAAUCUGUGCACCAUCCACAAGGUCUGCCUACCCCUACCGCUGGUGACUUUUUGCUUCCUGAUGUGCGGUCCAAUAGUUGGACCACUACGAGGCUACAUUUAAGACCAUCCUGUAGUUCCUGCUUUCCCAGCUGAUCUGCAAUUACCCAGCGAGGAGUGCCCAGCAACUUACAUUUCGCAGGACUGGACCUCCAGUUCCUCCAUGGGACAUGGAUGUGAUCCUUGGUGCACUUCAGCAUUGUCCCUUUGAGCUGCUCAAGGAUGCUCAUGUGAAAUGGCAUUUCCUUAAAAUGGCCUUUUUGGUGGACAUAACAUCUGCCAGUCCACAGAGAUUGCUACAGGUGGUUGCUAAAGAGGAAAGAGGUAAUCCUGCAAGCAAAAUGAAGAAUUGCCAUCCCUCAGCAGAUUAGAUCAAAUUAGGUUUUCCAAUUAUGAUCCAAUGUGUUCCAGCAUUUGUAAUCCUGAGAGGAACAUGUUUUUGGUUAACUCAAACUGCAGUAGAAAGUUACAAUAGGUAACAGUUUUCCAUCUGAUCAUAUAUGUUGACUUUGUCAUUGGUUGUCUCCAGCUCACUAAUGGUUCAUCGUUUUUAUUCAGGAGGAUUUCUGGAUGAAGUGACUGGAUCGAUCUACAAGACUGUAGCUGACGUCUUUGAUGAAGACGAUGAUGAUGUCAACUAAAUUUAACCAUAUGUUGCCACCAUGUGGACAAACUAAUAUACCAUACUUUCAUUGGUUAUGGUUAUUUGGGUUUUUUUUCUUUAAUAACACAUUUGCUCCCCAAUAACGUCAGAGAAAUUUUUAAAAUAAUAAUUUCACAUGUUUAUGUAUUGUUGCUACCUGACAAGUCUGAAUACUGAAAUCAUUAUUUAAAUAAAACAGACGAGACAUUUUUA
Pundamilia nyererei is the source of this 4013-nucleotide long non-coding RNA. RefSeq lists it as uncharacterized. The record is from RefSeq and is a predicted model, not a curated record. The transcript is spliced from 3 exons. Lineage: Eukaryota; Metazoa; Chordata; Actinopteri; Cichliformes; Cichlidae.